Podarcis lilfordi (Lilford's wall lizard) is the source of this 67-nucleotide non-coding RNA. The record is from the annotation of a GenBank genome assembly. NCBI's taxonomy places the organism in Eukaryota, Metazoa, Chordata, Lepidosauria, Squamata, Lacertidae.
ACAGCUCAGUUGGUAGAACAUGAGACUCUUAAUCUCAGGGCUGUGGGUUUGAGCCCCAUGUUGGGUG